GACGAACGCUGGCGGCGUGCUUAACACAUGCAAGUCGAGCGGAAAGGCCCUUCGGGGUACUCGAGCGGCGAACGGGUGAGUAACACGUGAGUAACCUGCCCCAGACUUUGGGAUAACCCUCGGAAACGGGGGCUAAUACCGGAUACGACACAGCUUCGCAUGGGGUCUGUGUGGAAAGUUUUUCGGUUUGGGAUGGGCUCGCGGCCUAUCAGCUUGUUGGUGGGGUGAUGGCCUACCAAGGCGACGACGGGUAGCCGGCCUGAGAGGGCGACCGGCCACACUGGGACUGAGACACGGCCCAGACUCCUACGGGAGGCAGCAGUGGGGAAUAUUGCACAAUGGGCGGAAGCCUGAUGCAGCGACGCCGCGUGAGGGAUGACGGCCUUCGGGUUGUAAACCUCUUUCAGCAGGGACGAAGCGUAAGUGACGGUACCUGCAGAAGAAGCGCCGGCCAACUACGUU
RNAcentral lists this ribosomal RNA (462 nucleotides) under uncultured bacterium. RNAcentral describes it as "partial 16S ribosomal RNA". It matches the Rfam family "Bacterial small subunit ribosomal RNA", at positions 28 to 507 of the family's 1533-position model. The record is from RNAcentral.